CUUCGGAAGCUGGGUUAGUGGCGCACGGGUGCGUAACGCGUAUGCAACCUACCUUCCACUGGGGGAUAGCCCUCCGAAAGGAGGAUUAAUACCGCAUGACACUACUUGAGGGCAUCCGAAGGUAGUCAAAGCUGAGGCGGUGGAAGAUGGGCAUGCGUGCCAUUAGCUAGUUGGUAGUGUAAGGGACUACCAAGGCGACGAUGGCUAGGGGUUCUGAGAGGAUGGUCCCCCACACUGGUACUGAGACACGGACCAGACUCCUACGGGAGGCAGCAGUAGGGAAUAUUGGGCAAUGGCCGAGAGGCUGACCCAGCCAUGCCGCGUGCAGGAAGAAGGCCUUCUGGGUUGUAAACUGCUUUUGUACGGGAAGAAAACGCCCCUGCGGGGGUAACUGACGGUACCGUACGAAUAAGCACCGGCUAACUCCGUGCCAGCAGCCGCGGUAAUACGGAGGGUGCAAGCGUUGUCCGGAUUUAUUGGGUUUAAAGGGUGCGUAGGCGGCCCGUUAAGUCAGCGGUGAAAGCCCGGGGCUCAACCCCGGAACUGCCGUUGAUACUGGCGGGCUUGAGUUCGGUCGAGGCGGGCGGAACUGGCGGUGUAGCGGUGAAAUGCAUAGAUACCGCCAAGAACCCCGAUUGCGAAGGCAGCUCGCUGGGCCGAAACUGACGCUGAGGCACGAAAGCGUGGGGAGCGAACAGGAUUAGAUACCC
RNAcentral lists this ribosomal RNA (710 nucleotides) under Pontibacter sp. Its description in RNAcentral is "bacterial SSU rRNA". It matches the Rfam family "Bacterial small subunit ribosomal RNA", at positions 78 to 787 of the family's 1533-position model. Lineage: Bacteria; Pseudomonadati; Bacteroidota; Cytophagia; Cytophagales; Hymenobacteraceae. The record is from RNAcentral.